RNAcentral lists this ribosomal RNA (577 nucleotides) under Neosesarma gemmiferum. RNAcentral's name for it is "partial 12S ribosomal RNA". Lineage: Eukaryota; Metazoa; Arthropoda; Malacostraca; Decapoda; Sesarmidae. The record is from RNAcentral.
CGUAUAAAUUAAUAAAAAUUAUUAGUAUUUAGUUNAAUGAAAGAUUUUUAUAAAUUAUAAAUAAUAAAAGGUAAAAUUUAAUUAUUAUUUUAUAUUUUUAAUAAAUUAACAUUAAAGCUAAAAAAUCUAAUUUAUAAACUAGGAUUAGAUACCCUAUUAUUUUAGUAAAAAUAUAAAAAACUAAAUGAAUAUUAAUUAUGUGCUUUAAAAUUAAAAAAUUUGGCGGUGAUUUAAUUUACUUAGAGGAACUUGUUUUUUAAUCGAUAAACCACGAAAAAUCUUACUUAUUUUGUUAAUAUAAAUUAUUAAAAGUUUGUAUACCAUCAUUAUCAGGUAAUUCUAAAAAGGAAAAAUUAUUAAAAAUAAAUAAAUUAUUAAAAUUAGAUCAUGGUGCAGCUUAUAAAUAAGGUAAAAUGAGUUACAAUAAAUUGUUUUAUAAUGGAAUAAUAAAGAGAAUUAUUGUUAUGAAGGAGGAUUUAAUAGUAUUAUAAUUUUAAUAAGAUUAUGAGAAAUUAACUCUAAAUCAUGUACAUAUCGCCCGUCGCUUUCAUUUAUAAAUGAAAUAAGUCGUAACAUA